GUGAAGCGGCAAAAGCUCAAAUUUGAAAUCUAGCACCUUCGGUGUUCSAGUUGUAAUUUGAAGAUGGUAACCUUGGGUUUGGCUCUUGUCUAUGUUCCUUGGAACAGGACGUCAUAGAGGGUGAGAAUCCCGUCUGAUGAGAUGCCCAUUCCUAUGUAAGGUGCUAUCGAAGAGUCGAGUUGUUUGGGAAUGCAGCUCUAAGUGGGUGGUAAAUUCCAUCUAAAGCUAAAUAUUGGCGAGAGACCGAUAGCGAACAAGUACAGUGAUGGAAAGAUGAAAAGAACUUUGAAAAGAGAGUGAAAAAGUACGUGAAAUUGUUGAAAGGGAAGGGCAUUAGAUCAGACUUGGUGUUUUACGAUUAUCUUCUCUUCUUGAGUUGUGCACUCGUAUUUCACUGGGCCAGCAUCGAUUCGGAUGGCAAGAUAAUGGCAGUUGAAUGUGGCUUCACUUCGGUGGAGUGUUAUAGCUUCUGCUGAUAUUGCCUGUCUGGAUCGAGGGCUGCGUCUUUUGACUAGGAUGCUGGCGUAAUGAU
This 532-nucleotide ribosomal RNA is filed under the name Hansenula anomala. RNAcentral's name for it is "Wickerhamomyces anomalus partial large subunit ribosomal RNA". The record is from RNAcentral. Lineage: Eukaryota; Fungi; Ascomycota; Saccharomycetes; Phaffomycetales; Wickerhamomycetaceae.